GUUUGAAGCAGUCUGCUCCCUUAGUGUAAGAGGAUGUAGCUGAUUAUCUUUCUAUAAACAAGGAAAAACCUUCAGGUGGUCUGGCUUGGAUGGAAAACCCGGCUCUGGGAGAGAGAAAAUGCUUUGGGGCUAAAAGGAAAAGGCAUGGGACAAAGCCAAGAGAAGGAAAUUUAGAGCAUGGAAUGAACCGGAAAAAACCCAACCAAACAAGGUGCAGUGGGAAAGUGCUGCUGGCAUUACUUAUUCUGGGAACACUGGCCCCUUCUCCGGGUGAAUGACUGAAGCCACUCACCUCACUGAAACAAGCUGAGAUUGUGUGCUUCUCAGGGAAAUGUCAGACUAAAGAUGUGACAAGGAAGACUGCAACCCUAUUUGCUUCUGAUAACCUUCCUAUGACUAAGCCUAUUCAGUGGAACGAUGAGGAUAAAGGCCUUUCUGAUGAUCCCCUUCCAUUUAAUAGUAAAUAUAUUUUAUCUUCCUUAUGAUUUUUAAAAUGACACUUUCCUUUCUCUAGAUUACUUUAUUGUGUGACCACAGUAUAUAACACAUAUACAAAAGAUAUGUUAAUUGACUGUUAAUGUUAUUGGUAAGGCUUCCAGUUAACAGUAGGCUGUUAGUAGUUAAGUUUUUGGGGAGUCAGAAAUUGUAUGCAGGUUUUCAACUGUGCAGGGGGACAGAGCAGCCCUCAACCCCCAAGUUAUUUAAGGGGUCAACUGUACUUCUUCCAUAAAAUGUCUGACAAAAAUAAAAAUCUAAAAAUAUUUACUUUCAAGUUUUUGGGUACUUAAUCAUUGACAUUGUAAGGAGAUAAAACUUUCCCUCCAAAGGUUUGAUGAUUAAGUUUAUUAAAUAAACUGACAGUGGACAGACUAACAGAAGAAAAGGCAUACAAAUGUAUUAUGUGCCUGAGGGCAUCAAAGGAAGGAAAAUCUUCUCUGGUUGAGAUUCCUGGGGAGGACACUCAUGACAAUUGUGGUUUUUGGAGGAUCUAUCUUUAGGCAGCUAAAAGGAAGUUCAGAGAAAGCCCCUUCCUAUACUUCGCAGGAGAAAAAAGAGCAAAGGACAAUCUAACUGGCUGAAUGAGAGGAGCGGGAAGAAGAAAGGGCCAAAAGAUGACAGAAAAU
RNAcentral lists this long non-coding RNA (1124 nucleotides) under Homo sapiens (human). RNAcentral describes it as "HSALNT0093332". The record is from RNAcentral. Lineage: Eukaryota; Metazoa; Chordata; Mammalia; Primates; Hominidae.